Neofelis nebulosa (Clouded leopard) is the source of this 854-nucleotide long non-coding RNA. RefSeq lists it as uncharacterized. Lineage: Eukaryota; Metazoa; Chordata; Mammalia; Carnivora; Felidae. The transcript is spliced from 3 exons. The record is from RefSeq and is a predicted model, not a curated record.
CUCCUUUGGUAGCUAACUGGCUGCGCCGGAGGCAGACGCCACAGUAACAAUUUAGUAUCUGCGAGAGAAAACACAGAUUAAGACCAUGACUCACAAAGUAUCAUUAUAUGUCACUUUAUCCUUCAACAAUUAGGAUUAUGGAGAAAACAACUGCCUUCUCAGCACAAACAGUUCUAUUCUGCCACAACGCUCCCACACUGCCCUGUUGAUACAGCCCUGCAGAGCCUCGCUGUGUGUAUAAAGGCACGAAAACCAGAAGGGCUCUCAUUCAGAGAGGUCAUAAAGCAAGAACUCAAGAAAUGCUCAUUAACUCUUUAAGAUCUGUUUUAUGUGCCUUUUCCCUUUCCCUGCAAGAAGUCUUCCAUUGAUCCUAACAUUGUUAACUAAUCACCUGUGUACUAGGAGCUAGCUAGAGAGAGCACACAAUGGUGAAAAAGGAAUCAGCAGUACUAUCAGACCCAAAUCCCGGAACUUCAAACUAUGGGAAGGAAAUGUGCUGUCCACUGGGCAGGUAUAUUGCACUGGACCCUCUGGAAGUUGAAGCUGGAAUGUUAAUUUACCCAAACUUCCAGGUGAUUAUAAUGCACCAUACACAGCUCUAAAGAGAGGUCCUAAGAAUCAUUCAAUCAAGAAUUCACCCCUGGAGAUGCCACUCGAUUAGGGAAAUGUUAAGACUCAUUUAUCUUUUAAAAGUUCAUACCUCUCAAUGAACUGAUGUUCUUUUCCAUAAUCUGCUGGCCAUUUUAAAAGCUGGAUUUAGGAAGUGAUAUUUCCCAUUUAUGCCAUCACCAAUGCUUGUUAGCAAUUAGAGUCUCUAGGUCUUAUCUCUGAAUAAGAUGAAAAUUAAAAUUGUA